GUGAACAUAGUUUAUCAAAAAUUCUAGUCUGUGACUCUAGAGAAGAAGACUAACCACCUUCUGUUCACC
Molecule: transfer RNA, 69 nt
Filed under: Limnodynastes salmini (salmon-striped frog)
Lineage: Eukaryota; Metazoa; Chordata; Amphibia; Anura; Limnodynastidae
Description: tRNA-His
Source: RNAcentral